Long non-coding RNA from Amphiprion ocellaris (clown anemonefish), 2432 nucleotides. RefSeq lists it as uncharacterized. Lineage: Eukaryota; Metazoa; Chordata; Actinopteri; Pomacentridae. The record is from RefSeq and is a predicted model, not a curated record. The transcript has 2 exons.
UAUGUUGCUGCAUUGCCCCCAAUCCAAAAUUAGAUGCACUAAAUAUAGCUAGGUGUCCAACAUUGCUGGGUGCAGUCAGAGGAGUCUGGCCUGAAGGACUUACUCCAUGCUGCUGAUCUUAUGGCCUGUAUGGAAAUGUUUCACAUGGAGGAAGUCCAGCAGCACCUGUGGCACGUCUUCAUCUUGAUAGAUGAUCUCCUGGUCAUCAAAGAAGAGUCAAACUGAAUAUGUGCACUGGCAGGAAUGUCUUUGAUGUGAUACACGGUAAAUAUCCACACGGAAACAGCUCCACGGUGUUACCAGAGGUCAGAAUCCCAACAGUAAACUUGUGAUUUCACAUUUUGAAAAGCACUUACAGCUCAAUUUGUUAGUGAGGUUUUACAGUGGCUUUACAGUAGAAGUCAAAAACGAAGAGAAUUCUAUAAAAUGUGUCUUUCACAAAGACACCUCAGCACAGCCGAGGCUUUCUGCUGAAGGAUAUCAGGUUGAGAGACGAGGACUGGGUUUGCUGUGUUACCUGGAUGUAGUCCUCCAGCUCCUGCCUCCUCUGCUCCAGAGGUUUGGUCCUCAGAUGGGGAUUCCUUUUGCUCGGGAAAUCCGGGGUCUGGAUGAUCUUCCUGAGCUGCAGACACCACGAGACAAAACAAGAGCUUUCAAAUCAAAUUUAUAAAUGGGGUGAAGCACCGAUUUUAAAGAACAAAGAUUUUUUGAUCCUCAAAAGUAUAUGAAGAGUUUUCACAACUCUCUAAAACAUUUGUUUCAGGCCACAGUAAAUACACAUGCAGUUGCAGGAGACCUUCAUAGUUUUGGAUUUUCAGUUUACUUGUGCAUGUAAACUGUUAUUUUAACCAGAAAACAACAUUUAAUCGCUGCAAGAAAAUUGCUUGUUAACAUUUGUGGGGGUUGUAAAUGAAUAAAACCUAAACAGAAAGAAGAAGAACUGUAUAAGUGGAUGACCACAGCUGCUCAGCACUCUGCUUCAUCUAGUAAGGCAGUCUGCAAACUGAGUUUAAAUGGGAAAAGUCUUGUCCAGUGUCACAUGAUUGAAGUCCCUGAAGGUCAUGAAGAUACCACUGAGAUGUACAGUGUGUAGUCACAAAUGGCUGGUGAGAUAUCAGAGGGGUGUGUGUCCAGAACAAUCAAGACAGCAUGUGAAAGUUUUUCUGGGGGACUAAAUGUGGACAAAGCUCCAAGACUUGGAGUUCAGCACAUUAACUCUAACAAUAAUUUAAAAAUUCCCAUUAUUUUUCUCAUACUGUACAUUGCUACAGUCCUUAUUAUCACCCUCUGUCUGAAAUGCUCUGUUUUACCUCCUGUCUCGUAAUGGCUCCCUUCUAAAAAGCCCAGUCUGCUUUGAUUGGCUAUCUGACCUGACAAAAAUGAAGAAAGGUUGGUUCCGUAGUGUAAACUCAGAUCUCUGAGCACAGGCAGAGAGACGUAGCUCUGGCAAAAGCGGCUCUGGUGACACAAUAUUAGCGGGGAGCAGCUCAUUCUUUGUUUAACCCUCCUGUUAAAUCUAGAAUAGAAUUCAAAAUCCUUCUUCUGACAUAUAAAGCCCUUAACAACCGAUCUCCAUCAUAUCUUAAAGACCUGAUAGUACCAUAUUAUCCUAGCAGAACUCUUCGCUCUCAGACUGCAGGCUUACUUGUUGUUCCUAGAAUCUCUAAAAGUAGAAUGGGAGGCAGAGCCUUCAGUUAUCAGGCACCUCUCCUGUGGAACCAGCUCCCAGUUUGGGUUCGGGAGGCGGACACCCUCUCUAUUUUUAAGACGGUUAGGGCUGACUGGGGGACCCUGAGGGGGUCAGCUGGAGUCUUCAUCUGCACAACUGACUUCCCCUCCCGACGUCCCUUUGUUCUGCCCCUAGUUAUGCUGCUAUAGGCCUAGACUGCUGGGGGACCUCUCUUGAUGCAAUGAGCCCUUCUCUAACUACCUAUGUAUUUACUACAUAUACCAUUAUUGCAUUACAUUCACUCUGUUUCUUUCUGUGUCCUUUCUCCGAGUGUCCCUGGUCCCAGAGCUGGAUGCUUCAGAUCUGUGGUUGUUCUCCCACCAACUGGCCUAGUCUCCAUCUGUGGAUGCUGCUGCUGACCUUCCUCCAGCCCACUGCUUCCAGCUGCCCAUUUCCACCAAUCUACUCUGCAUUGUCCUUACUAUACUUGAUAUACUCAUCUACAUAUUCUUGAAUUUUACCACCAGCUAUAUAUGUAGUAUAUUUAAUGUCAGAGCUGUACACCAUAGCAGUAAAUUAUAAUUAGUUUCCAUGUCAGUUGUACUUUGCAUGUAUCAUCUGUCUUAUCAUGCAUGUAUCAAACUGUGUGUUUUAUGUUCCUUUGGGCUUGCUCUGGGGGUUCAGGCAUAUGGGUUCUGUAAAGCGUCUUCAGACAAUUUGACUGUAGAUUGGCGCUAUAUAAAUAAAAUUGAAUUGAAUUGAA